Molecule: ribosomal RNA, 371 nt
Filed under: uncultured bacterium
Lineage: Bacteria
Description: bacterial SSU rRNA
Rfam family: Bacterial small subunit ribosomal RNA
Source: RNAcentral
GUAGGGGGCAAGCGUUGUCCGGAAUGAUUGGGCGUAAAGGGCGUGUAGGUGGCGAUUUAAGUCUGGAGUGAAAGUCCUGCUUUUAAGGUGGGAAUUGCUUUGGAUACUGGAUGGCUAGAGUGCAGGAGAGGUUAGUGGAAUUCCCAGUGUAGCGGUGAAAUGCGUAGAGAUUGGGAGGAACACCAGUGGCGAAGGCGACUAACUGGACUGUAACUGACGCUGAGGCGCGAAAGUGUGGGGAGCAAACAGGAUUAGAUACCCUGGUAGUCCACACUGUAAACGAUGAAUGCUAGGUGUAGGGGGUAUCGACCCCUUCUGUGCCGGAGUAAACACAAUAAGCAUUCCGCCUGGGGAGUACGGCCGCAAGGUUG